UCGAGCGGUACAUUUCUAGCUUGCUAGAAGAUGACGAGCGGCGGACGGGUGAGUAAUGCUUGGGAACAUGCCUUGAGGUGGGGGACAACAGUUGGAAACGACUGCUAAUACCGCAUAAUGUCUACGGACCAAAGGGGGCUUCGGCUCUCGCCUUUAGAUUGGCCCAAGUGGGAUUAGCUAGUUGGUGAGGUAAUGGCUCACCAAGGCGACGAUCCCUAGCUGGUUUGAGAGGAUGAUCAGCCACACUGGGACUGAGACACGGCCCAGACUCCUACGGGAGGCAGCAGUGGGGAAUAUUGCACAAUGGGCGCAAGCCUGAUGCAGCCAUGCCGCGUGUGUGAAGAAGGCCUUCGGGUUGUAAAGCACUUUCAGUCAGGAGGAAAGGUUAGUAGUUAAUACCUACUAGCUGUGACGUUACUGACAGAAGAAGCACCGGCUAACUCCGUGCCAGCAGCCGCGGUAAUACGGAGGGUGCGAGCGUUAAUCGGAAUUACUGGGCGUAAAGCGUACGCAGGCGGUUUGUUAAGCGAGAUGUGAAAGCCCCGGGCUCAACCUGGGAACUGCAUUUCGAACUGGCAAACUAGAGUGUGAUAGAGGGUGGUAGAAUUUCAGGUGUAGC
Molecule: ribosomal RNA, 619 nt
Filed under: bacterium 4753K4-B8
Lineage: Bacteria
Description: bacterial SSU rRNA
Rfam family: Bacterial small subunit ribosomal RNA
Source: RNAcentral